RNAcentral lists this ribosomal RNA (467 nucleotides) under uncultured bacterium. RNAcentral describes it as "partial 16S ribosomal RNA". It matches the Rfam family "Bacterial small subunit ribosomal RNA", at positions 28 to 507 of the family's 1533-position model. The record is from RNAcentral.
GAUGAACGCUGGCGGCGUGCUUAACACAUGCAAGUCGAACGGAAAGGCCCAAGCUUGCUUGGGUACUCGAGUGGCGAACGGGUGAGUAACACGUGGGUGAUCUGCCCUGCACUUCGGGAUAAGCCUGGGAAACUGGGUCUAAUACCGGAUAGGACCACAUUUUGGAUGGUGUGGUGGAAAGUUUUUCGGUGUGGGAUGAGCUCGCGGCCUAUCAGCAUGUUGGUGGGGUAAUGGCCUACCAAGGCGUCGACGGGUAGCCGGCCUGAGAGGGUGUACGGCCACAUUGGGACUGAGAUACGGCCCAGACUCCUACGGGAGGCAGCAGUGGGGAAUAUUGCACAAUGGGCGCGAGCCUGAUGCAGCGACGCCGCGUGGGGGAUGACGGCCUUCGGGUUGUAAACUCCUUUCGCUAGGGACGAAGCGUUUUUGUGACGGUACCUGGAGAAGAAGCACCGGCUAACUACGUG